This 523-nucleotide ribosomal RNA is filed under the name Pseudomonas sp. NZPK2. RNAcentral describes it as "bacterial SSU rRNA". It matches the Rfam family "Bacterial small subunit ribosomal RNA", at positions 8 to 526 of the family's 1533-position model. Lineage: Bacteria; Pseudomonadati; Pseudomonadota; Gammaproteobacteria; Pseudomonadales; Pseudomonadaceae. The record is from RNAcentral.
AGAGUUUGAUCCUGGCUCAGAUUGAACGCUGGCGGCAGGCCUAACACAUGCAAGUCGAGCGGAUUAAGUGAGCUUGCUCAUGGAUUCAGCGGCGGACGGGUGAGUAAUGCCUAGGAAUCUGCCUGGUAGUGGGGGACAACGUUUCGAAAGGAACGCUAAUACCGCAUACGUCCUACGGGAGAAAGCAGGGGACCUUCGGGCCUUGCGCUAUCAGAUGAGCCUAGGUCGGAUUAGCUAGUUGGUGAGGUAAUGGCUCACCAAGGCUACGAUCCGUAACUGGUCUGAGAGGAUGAUCAGUCACACUGGAACUGAGACACGGUCCAGACUCCUACGGGAGGCAGCAGUGGGGAAUAUUGGACAAUGGGCGAAAGCCUGAUCCAGCCAUGCCGCGUGUGUGAAGAAGGUCUUCGGAUUGUAAAGCACUUUAAGUUGGGAGGAAGGGUUGUAGAUUAAUACUCUGCAAUUUUGACGUUACCGACAGAAUAAGCACCGGCUAACUCUGUGCCAGCAGCCGCGGUAAUAC